UCCAUACCAAAACCUAGUCCUAAAGCAGAACUAGACUAGUCCUAAAGCUGUUCUAAAACACUUAAACAAUUGAAAUCAUUUUGCCUCUUCUCCAAAAGCAAGAAACCCUAUCGUUCCAUUUCAAAACCCCCAAAUUAGCUCAAACCAAAUUAGCUCAAACCCUAUCAACUUUCUUUUGCUCUCAUCGGUAAGGCUCUUCCCUUUCUCAUUUUACAUAUUUUCUUUUAGCUGCAUACAUAUACCUUGCUUUUUCCCAAUUAACUAAGAUUUUUCUUUUUCAGAUUAGCAGUUGUUUUGCAAAUCUAUUGUAUUCCUCCCUAUUAUCGAAUUUAUUUGUUUAUUUUAUUUCUAUUAGAUGAUUAACAUGAGUAAUUGACUGUUACUUAAAAAGAUAUUGAAACUUUUUUACUUAUAUUUUGAAUCAUUUGGUUAAAUAAUAUGGACUAUGUAAAAUUAAGAGUGAUGUAUUUCUUACAUUGAUGUAUUUCCAAGGAAUAUAAGUUUGAAGACAUGUUAGAGGAAGUCCAGAAAAUUGAGCAAGUUGAAGAAGGUAAUAAUUUAUAUUCAAUUGUUAAUGAGUAUAGUUAUUUUUUUAUAUUAUUUAAUAUUAAAUAUGUUAAUUGUUUCUUUUCUUUCAGAAUAUGCAGACUCGCCUUUGAGGAUUGAUUAGAGGGAUAGUUAACUACAAUUUGCUUCAUGACUAUUUUUGGAAUCUUUACUACUUUAAGGUAAUUAAUUAAAAGAAAGUUGGUGCAUGGUUUUUAAUCGAUUAAGAAGCUUUUGUAUUACAUUAUUUCUCUAAGGUUCAGUUGAUUUGACAAUUGGAG
Molecule: long non-coding RNA, 827 nt
Filed under: Nicotiana tabacum (common tobacco)
Lineage: Eukaryota; Viridiplantae; Streptophyta; Magnoliopsida; Solanales; Solanaceae
Description: long non-coding RNA (NTAB_LNC019277)
Source: RNAcentral